CAUUCAAAGGGUUUGGUUAAGAUAUGCCAAAUUCCACCAAGUAUACAAAUGGAACCUAACUAUACGUGUCCUCCAAUUAUAUCUUCUAAAUCGUC
Non-coding RNA from Phoenix dactylifera (date palm), 95 nucleotides. The record is from RefSeq and is a predicted model, not a curated record. NCBI's taxonomy places the organism in Eukaryota, Viridiplantae, Streptophyta, Magnoliopsida, Arecales, Arecaceae.